AAAAUUAUGGGCUUUUUCUGUCAAAUCAGUCUAUAAUCUUUUUUUUAUGGAUCAGGUCUAUAAUAUUGAUAUCACAUUGGGUUUUUUUUGGAAAUGGCUUGUUCCAAUUGAAAUUCAAGCUUUCUUUUGUGUUGCAUGUCAAGGGAAAUGUUUAAUGGUGGAGAACCUGCAAAAGAGGGGUAAAAUUAUUUGUAACAUAUGUUUGAUGCGUAAAAAUGAUUAAGAAUCUGAUACUCAUCUUUUCCUUCAUUGUCUUUUUGCUUCUAGCGUAUGGUACUGGGAUUUCUCUUUAUUGGGUUUUUUCCCUCACGAUACCUUUGAACCUCAUUAGCAUUAUUAACUAUCUUACUGCCAUUGAAUUGCCAAAAACAGGAAUUGUGAUUUGGAAAAUUAUCAGAAGUGCUAUCUUAUGGCAUAUUUGGUCAAAGCGUAAUAGGAGAACAUUUGAUGGGAUGUCACAUAGUAUUGAAGUGGUAAAAGAUCGUAUCUUACAAUCUCUAUAGAAUUGGUUCACCUCCAUGCCUGAAGGACGGGGUGCUCUGUGGAGUGACAUUUAUGUCAAUCUGAAAUAUUUAGCUACUUCUUUUACUUUCUCUAGUUGUCCCCAUAGAACUUGGAUGACACCUCUUAAUGACUCAAACUUAAUUUUGUUGGUAGUUCCUUUGGAAAUCU
Molecule: long non-coding RNA, 672 nt
Filed under: Amborella trichopoda
Lineage: Eukaryota; Viridiplantae; Streptophyta; Magnoliopsida; Amborellales; Amborellaceae
Description: long non-coding RNA (ATRI_LNC003067)
Source: RNAcentral